GUAUAAGAGACAGCAGUCGCCGCGGUAAUACAGAGGGUGCGAGCGUUAAUCGGAUUUACUGGGCGUAAAGCGUGCGUAGGCGGCUUCUUAAGUCGGAUGUGAAAUCCCUGAGCUUAACUUAGGAAUUGCAUUCGAUACUGGGAAGCUAGAGUAUGGGAGAGGAUGGUAGAAUUCCAGGUGUAGCGGUGAAAUGCGUAGAGAUCUGGAGGAAUACCGAUGGCGAAGGCAGCCAUCUGGCCUAAUACUGACGCUGAGGUACGAAAGCAUGGGGAGCAAACAGGAUUAGAUACCCCCGUAGUCCCUGUCUCUUAUAC
RNAcentral lists this ribosomal RNA (314 nucleotides) under uncultured bacterium. RNAcentral's name for it is "partial 16S ribosomal RNA". It matches the Rfam family "Bacterial small subunit ribosomal RNA", at positions 495 to 807 of the family's 1533-position model. The record is from RNAcentral.